CCAAAUCUAUUUUUCCAUCGCCCUUCAAUGGUAAACCCUUAUCUGUUUGUGCGACCACCGUUCCAUUCGCCAUCGGCUGUGACAUUGUCGAGGAUUCGCAGGCCUCCCCUGUAGCUCUCUCUGGUUUUUCCAUUGUGACGCAUAUGGUAAGAUUUUUAAACCAAUUUCAUCACUGUUUCCAUGCAUAGUUAACAAGAUGUGAAACUGGACUUCAUGGAAUUGAUUUCUUUGGUGAUUAAGCUGAUUUCCCCUAAUUGAUUCUAGCAUAGUAGCAUUUUUGAAUAUUUUCUUAGGUGUUGUAGUGACCAAUUAACCUUAUCAACCUCUAGCAGUAACUACAAUAGCCAAAUAGAAGACAAAAAUGCCAUUACUUCUUCUGUUGGUUUAUUUCCCACAACUUCACCAUACUUCUAUUCUGAUGCCAAUUUUGCUUAUAAUGAGUGUUUAUCGAGAAUAUCUGAAAUCUAGAACUAGGCGCCAAAAAUAUAGAGAUUAGCAUAAAUGUGGUGAGGAUUGUCUAGUUACGAAUUUGGGACUGGUGUGGCCUAAUUCAAGGUUUGCUUGUGGAUGAUGGUACCUUGUAAACAACUUAAUUUACUUGUGAAUCUGAUAUGUUUGUUGAUAAUUGAAGAAGCAGAUAAGUGGUAGGAUUUAGAAAUAUUAGAAGUGGAAUGCAUGGACUAGUAAAACCGUAUGGUUUAUUACAUUGAUGGUUAGUACAACACUUAAGUCUUAGUGUUGCCACACAUACAUGGUGAGGCACUAAUGCCUAUUUAUAGCUGGAGUCACCGCCUUGAUUUUGGCGGUUUAUUAUAUGAUACAAUUGGAUCAUUCUAGAGUUUAGAAACAUCAAAAUAGUCUAUGUGCUUUCUAUAAUAGUGUAGAUUUUAAAAGAUAAUUCUAGAAAUUUGCAUCAAUUCUUAACAAUGUUUAACCUCUUACAUUUUCCUUCAAUGUAUACAUCUUAGCAAGCUAUCUCUAUGGUGGAGAUUUUGUAUGAUAAUUCGAUUAGCUCAUUAAGUUAAUUCAAUCAUGUUUCUGGGAAAUAACUUUUUGGUAUUUAAAUUAUUUCUGUAGCAUAGUCUUUAGGUUGAUUCUACUGCUUAAAUGAAAAUAUUCUGUCUGUGCUUUUUCCUUGCUUCAACUUGGGUGUGUGUUAAAAGCUUGCUCCUGUGGAUGUUGACAUGGCAAGGUUCUUGCUAACAAUCAGAAAUGUUUAUGUGCUCUUAUUUUAAAUGGUUGAACUCACUGGACAAGUUUUUGAAGUAAUAAAGUAAGAAACAAUUUUUUUAAAAAGGAUAUAAUUCUUGAAGAAGUCAAUUUAAUGUGAAGCUUAAAGAUUAGGAGGAGUGAUUUCAUUUGAUUAGCUCAUAGUUCUGAGUUUAUCUAAUGCUGGUUAUAGGUAUUAUGAUUACAUUUACUUGUAUAGACUGACUAAUUUAUUUCCUAUAUACAUUAGACCCCCAAAGUAUAAGCAAGAUAUCACACACACAGAAAUGGGGAUGAUGAGAAGAAAAAGAAUAUUGUUUUUGUUUCUAAUGACCAGAUGAGGAAUUGGGUGAAUGAGAUAGAACAUUAUGCUAUUCUGGUCAACAUACUGGUCUGGUCAAAUCUAAAAUCUUGUAGGCCACCUUUGAUCUGGGGUCUGUUAUGAUCGUGAAAGAUUAGCAAACCCUAACAUUGGUAGUUGCUUUGUUUCUUUGUUGGUUGUAUGUUUCUGGCUUCUUUUGAUAUGAAAAUAUUAUUUUUUGCAAGAGUUAAUCGCUUUAAUAUUUUUUUUCAGUAACACCUAGCAAAUUGAAAUGAGAGAGUUCUGCUUUGAAUUAUCUAUUUGGUUGGCAGUAAUUAGUAUGUCUAUGAAAUUUAACUUUCUCUGUUUUCCUUGGACUUCAUGGCAUAAGAAAAGUUCACAUAGGCGGUUAAAAAGGCAUAAAGCCACAUAAAAAUUAACUUGAACUCUUUGGCAUUUAAUUUAUCUUCUUUUCUACUUUCAGUACUCUAUGAAGACCCGGAACUUUAAAAUUAGAGCCACAUGGAAAUUUCAUCAUCCUAGAGACCAAGUUGGGAACUGAGAUCGCUGGAAGAGUUGCCUUAAGCAUUUUCACUGUGGUGUGAGAGUGUUGGCGGUUCACAGUCAAUGAUGUCAUGCUCAUAUCAUGGUCACUUCGGGUAAUUAACUUCAAAUAUUUUCAUUUUCUAUUUGCUUAUAUAUAGUUUCAUGAGAAUUUCUCAAAACUUAUGAAAAAGAUGGGAGUGUUUAGGUCACGGGUUCUUAAAUUAAGGUCUUGUUUUCUAGUUGUCGGUAUGUUUGGAUUGACAGAACAUAACAGAGCAGAACGAAUUGAAAUAUAAUGGAACAGAUAGAGCGGAAUGAAAUGGAAUAAAAAUCUCAUCCCAUUGUUUGGGUAUUUUAUGAUAACACGAAACAAAAUCACCACUCCCUUAUUUGGAUAAUGGACGGAGCGGAAUGAGUUAUAACUUUUUUAUUCCUAUAUUACCUUUCUUUAAAUAAUAAAAUUCUCAUUAAAUUAUUAAAAUGAUUAACAAAAUAAUUUUUUAGAGGAAUUAACAAAAUCAUUAUCCUUGCUAAACUCUCAUUAUAUCUAUUUACUCAAAUUAAAUUAUAUCCUCAUCAUUUAUCUACAGUAAACUAUACUAGUAUAUGCCAAUAUUUUUUUAUAAAACGUACUGAACAUAAUAGAACACUAUCGAAAAAAGUAAACGAAAAAUAAAAGAAUGCAACAGUUGGAAAAAAAAAUAGUUUGUUGACAAAUAAAAGAAUAUGUAUACAUUAGUAUUAAUAAUUAAAUAUGAACAGUAUCAUUAUAUUACCUUUCGUAAGCUGUAAUGUUUUAUUUUUGCUAGAUAUGUUAAAAUAAUGUUGGAACUUGGUUGUUUGUGUGAGGGGAGAGAGUAGAGACUCACGGAGAGAGAGUGGGAGAGAGUGGGAGAGACUAUUAAGUUAAGGGCUAGAAAUCUAGAAUUGUAAAUUGAUAAUUUUUAUAAGUGUAAAAUCUUGAUUUCAUCCCAUACCUUCCAAAUUGAGGGAAGCAAAAUGAUGGAAACUAAUCUCAUCUCAUUUCCAUCUCAUCCCACCUUUUCAUAACAUAUCCAAACAAUAGAACAUAAAAAUAUUUCACUCCAUCUCAUCUCACCCCACUCCCUGCCACCAAUCCAAAUAUAGCCUAAUGAUGGCAUAGUGUAUAUUUGACUGUGGAUAAAUGAUGAAGAUAUAAACUAAUUAGAGUAAAUAGAUAUGAUGAGAUUUUAGCAAGGUAAUUAUUUUGUUAAUUAUUUUUGUAGUUUAAUGAUAAUCUUUUAUUUUAAAGCAAAGGUAAUGUAGGAAUUAAAAAGUUAUAACUCAUUCCGCUCCAUCCAUUAUCCAAAAAGGGGCGUGGUAACUUUAAUUUGUUAUGUUCCAUCAUUAAAUACCCAAACAAUGGGAUGAGAUUUUUAUUCCAUUCUGUUCUGCUCCAUUAUAUUUCAUUACGUUCCGCUCCGUUAUGUUUCAUCAAUCCAGCCUAAAUGUUUGCAUAGAUUAACACAUCACGAUAGCAAAAUAACAAUAUAAGGAACAAUGGCUGAAAAUGGUGGGUGGAUGGUUGACCAAAAAUAUGUAUACUGCAUGUUUGCACAAACUAUAUAUUAAUUAAUCAGGUUCUAGUACUUUUUGAGAUAAAUAUGUUGAGAUUGAUACUUUGAGACACUAUUACAACACUAGUAGCAGAUUAGGUAGACCAUCACAACACGUUCAACAGAGGAAUAUGUAGCAGCAAAUGCUAGGAUAAGCUAACUUCAAUUUUAGAAUUGAGAACUUAAUUUUCAAGUAUACACUAUUUGUUCCCCUUCUUCAUGUAACUUUUGUCAUGGACAUGAUUAAAGUUGUAUAGUGCAAUUUCUCAAACUCAAUGGCUUGUGAAAUCUUGUGUGCAAACCUUGAGAAUAAUUCAUCCAUGAUACCUUUGCCAAAUGCGGCAGAGUAAAGUGGUUCCACGACGGAUCUGAGGGUCUUGGAAAUUAACUCUCCUUUAAUUUUGGUAUCCAUGUCAUGUGGAAGGUGUCCAUCCAAACUUAUUUGGAUAGUUUUCAGUGUUUGAAGGGUAAAAGAUCCUUCUGCCUCAAUUAUUUGUUUGACUUCCUCCACAGUAGGAAUAUAUAUAGGCAUAUUAAAGCAAUCUAAUUUAGUCUCUUCAAGCAAACCCUGCAUUUAUAUUAAUUUAUAGGGAACAAUAUUAGUUACUACCAAAUAGGAAUAACAUGUUAUAAACUACAGAAAAACAUUACAUUCCAGUUAGUUUCUUGAAAAUCUAGUAAUAAUGGUAAUCAAAAUUGUAUUCGUUGCAUACCUCCAAGACCAUGUCCUUCAGUACCAACUCAAUUAAGUCCUGCGUAGUACCCUUUUCAAAUGCAGCAUUUUCUCUUCCCAGUAAAGAUAGUACCAUACUUCCAUCAAGUGUUAGUUCGUUCGAACGUGAUCGAAGAAAUAGAUUGAAAUCUCUUUGGAAUUGCUCAAAAUAUGCUUUAUACACUAUUUUAGGACUUUUGAUUGUUAAAUAAAUAUGACCCUUGUUCAGUGGUUCUGCCCCUUUAGUCAAUUCUUCUGGAGACUGUUCCGGAAAAAGCAAUAGACACACACAAAUGAUAUUAUUUUGUGCUUUGCUUCACAAACACAACUUUAACAACUUUAAUAUAUAUAUUAAUAAAUACCUGCGAGAGCCAAUGAAGACUAUUCGAAGAAUGAAAGAAAUCGAUGUAAUUAUUAGGAAAGAGCCUCCCAUAGAAGUUCCCUGGAGUUGCAUUUAUAAAGCAUGCUCCAGCUUUGUCUCCCCUAUCUUGUAUCUUUUGGUAGAAAUCAGGAAGUAACUUGAAGAUACCAUUAAAAUCGUUUCCAAAAAGAUCACUAAGAUAAACUUGGAGUAUGGGCACCUCUUGCUUUGAGCCCAAUCUAGUUGUGUUGAUGACGCUCAUUAUAUCGGACACGACCAGAAGUGAAUUUGGUCCUGAAGAGCAUCCUAAAUCUGCCACUUUCAAAUUACUUUUAAAAGUGGUGUGAUGCAACAAUGUCUUAAUACUUUCUUCUAGUAUUGACUUCAUUUCAAAUAACACUUUUCUCUGCAAUAAAAAAAACUUGGUUACAACAAUGACGACGCCAACAAUAAUAAGCCAAAUGUUAUCCCAUAAUCUUAGGGACAGCUGUGAUAUAAAAAAUUCAAAAUGAUGAUCUGUAGGUUAUUAGCUGAAUCUGUUUUAUUUUGGCAUUCCUUGAGAUUUUCUCUAUGGUGUUAUGAUGUUAUAGGGAUGCCAUUUUAGAAACUGAGGUUUAUUUUGAAAUUUUUUGGGGUGGUGUUUUGGAUGAGAUUUUAUUGUAUAAGGUUGUAUAUCCGUCAUGAGAAUGGUUGUUUCUCAUGUUCUCUUAAUUUUAUGAAUAUAACUCUUGCUUUAAAAAGAAUUAUUUUUCAAUAAAAAAUUAUAUUUUCUAUAAUUUUUUUACCAGAAGUUCGAGGGAGAGUAGAAGUAGUAACAAGAAGAGAAUGCAUACAAUGGAAAAGUUCAAGGGAGCAUAUGAUUAUUGAGUAGGCAGCUGAGGUUCUUUCUCCCUUGAGAAAUUAAUCCGGUAAGUUAAAUAUUAAUUCGAUCUCUUUACUUACUAUUGACACCAAAAUAUUGGCUGAUGCAGAAUGGUUGUAAACUAAUUUAAUCGAGUCAAGGUUAGCUCAGAGCAGACAAGUUUAUUUUUUAUAUGCUAAAUAAUGAUAUUAAUGUGGAGCACAAGGGGUGCCCCAUCCGAUACAAAGGAAAAACAAAAGUCUAAAUAACAAGAAACAUCCUACAGCGUUCAAAUGAAGUAAAAAUCACAUACUCUAUAAAACUGACACAUUUCAACGGGCUUUGCCAACAAAUGAGAAGCGUUUUCGGAAUCCUUUGAGCUCUACGGCAGCAUGCUCCAGAUGUGGUUCCGAUUCAGAGGAUGCCAACCAUGUUUUUUGAGGAUGCCCUGACUCGCAGAACUUGUGGAGGAGCCUUGGUCCCUUGCUGCCGCGGCUUGACACUCAUGGGGACUUUGGAGCUUGGUUUGAUAUGCUUCUGUCACGUUGCAGCAAUAUUCUUCCCUUCGCAGUUUUAUGGUGGGCUUGGAAGUGGCGCAAUGAGUCUGUGCUAGGCACAAACUCAUGGCCACUGCAGUAUGUCCUAAGGCAGAUUAUAGUGGAUGCUCAGAGCUGGAAUCGGUGGCCUAACGCAGCGCCGAUUAGGCGUGUGGAACCAACGCCAGCACCCUUGGUGGCGAAUGAAGUGCAGCUGCACGUAGAUGGAAGCUGGAAUCCUGCUGCUCAGCGCAUGGGCUACGAGGCUUUUCUUCAAGACUCGAAUGAAAACUGGCUAUCUGGAGUGUCUGCAAGCAUGGGUACGGGGUCGUCGUUUCUUGUUGAGUUAUUAGCAAUGGAGCACGGGCUCCUCCAUGCUUGGAGUCUUGGUCACCGAGCUGUUCUUUGUAUGGCAGAUUGCAGGCAAGCUGGGGAUAUUGUGCAGCAGGAAGGAGAUGUUUCCAGUUAUUGGGAGAAGGAUGCUAUCGUAAGGCUCAGAGCUUUACUGAGCAGAAACUGGCAUGUGAGGCUUGUAUGGAUCCCUCGUGAGAAGAACUCUGCUGCAGAUACUAUGGCUCGGCAAGCAGUGCGUGACGGAGCAGGGCAUCGUGUUUGAGCCCAACCUCCUUUGGGUGUUUUGACAGCAUUGUAUGCUGAUAGUUUAGUGUAGCCCUUGUUUUAUUUUUCCUAUGUAACCAAAAAAAGUAUACACUAACACUGACUAUCCCUGUAACUUAUGAAUUGCCAGCUAGAGCUCAAUUUUGAGAAUGUAGCUGAUGAAGUGGGGAGCCGAAAGUGACAAGCUUUGCGUACGAAAUUGGACAAGAGCUCAAUUUUUAGAAUGUAGCCGAUGAAGUGGGGAGCCGAAGAGACAAGCUUUGCGUACGAAAUUGGACAAGAUAUCUUUCCA
RNAcentral lists this long non-coding RNA (6993 nucleotides) under Lotus japonicus. RNAcentral's name for it is "long non-coding RNA (LJAP_LNC000351)". The record is from RNAcentral. Lineage: Eukaryota; Viridiplantae; Streptophyta; Magnoliopsida; Fabales; Fabaceae.